UUGCAUAUUCCCAAAGCGGAGGAAAAGAAACCAACAGGGAUUGCCUCAGUAACGGCGAGUGAAGCGGCAACAGCUCAAAUUUGAAAUCUGGCCUCCCGGGGUCCGAGUUGUAAUUUGUAGAGGAUGUUUUGGGUACCGCCCCGGUUUAAAUUUCUUGGAACAGAAUGUCAGAGAGGGUGAGAAUCCCGUCUUGGACCGGUGGUAGGGCCUGUGUAAAACUCCUUCGACGAGUCGAGUUGUUUGGGAAUGCAGCUCAAAAUGGGUGGUAAAUUUCAUCUAAAGCUAAAUAUUGGCCAGAGACCGAUAGCGCACAAGUAGAGUGAUCGAAAGAUGAAAAGAACUUUGAAAAGAGAGUUAAACAGUAUGUGAAAUUGUUGAAAGGGAAGCGCUUGCAACCAGACUUGAGCGCGACGGUUCCCCUAGCCUUUUGGCUAGGUUACUCCGUCGUGUCCAGGCCAACAUCGGUUCUGAGGGUCGGUCAAAGGCUCUGGGAAUGUAUCUACCCACGGGUAGACUUAUAGACCAGGGUGUCAUGCGACCUCUCGGGACCGAGGAACGCGCUUCGGCUCGGAUGUUGGCGUAAUGGUUGUCAGCGACCCGUCUUGAACACACGGGACCA
This 619-nucleotide ribosomal RNA is filed under the name Cladophialophora carrionii. Its description in RNAcentral is "partial large subunit ribosomal RNA". It matches the Rfam family "Eukaryotic large subunit ribosomal RNA", at positions 36 to 664 of the family's 3401-position model. The record is from RNAcentral. Lineage: Eukaryota; Fungi; Ascomycota; Eurotiomycetes; Chaetothyriales; Herpotrichiellaceae.